GAUUGAACGCUGGCGGCAGGCCUAACACAUGCAAGUCGAACGGUAACAGGAAACAGCUUGCUGUUUCGCUGACGAGUGGCGGACGGGUGAGUAAUGUCUGGGAAACUGCCUGAUGGAGGGGGAUAACUACUGGAAACGGUAGCUAAUACCGCAUAACGUCGCAAGACCAAAGAGGGGGACCUUCGGGCCUCUUGCCAUCGGAUGUGCCCAGAUGGGAUUAGCUAGUAGGUGGGGUAACGGCUCACCUAGGCGACGAUCCCUAGCUGGUCUGAGAGGAUGACCAGCCACACUGGAACUGAGACACGGUCCAGACUCCUACGGGAGGCAGCAGUGGGGAAUAUUGCACAAUGGGCGCAAGCCUGAUGCAGCCAUGCCGCGUGUAUGAAGAAGGCCUUCGGGUUGUAAAGUACUUUCAGCGGGG
RNAcentral lists this ribosomal RNA (421 nucleotides) under Streptococcus pneumoniae. RNAcentral describes it as "bacterial SSU rRNA". It matches the Rfam family "Bacterial small subunit ribosomal RNA", at positions 27 to 444 of the family's 1533-position model. The record is from RNAcentral. Lineage: Bacteria; Bacillati; Bacillota; Bacilli; Lactobacillales; Streptococcaceae.